Nicotiana attenuata is the source of this 1118-nucleotide RNA transcript. It is a transcript of the gene named E3 ubiquitin-protein ligase RNF4-like, with no coding region annotated. Lineage: Eukaryota; Viridiplantae; Streptophyta; Magnoliopsida; Solanales; Solanaceae. The record is from RefSeq and is a predicted model, not a curated record. The transcript has 8 exons.
UCUCUCUCUCUCUCUGUCUCUCUCUCUCAAACCCUAGACACUGAAGACCGCUGAAUUAUCUGAUUUUAGCCAAAUUUAGGAAUCUAUACUGUCGAAGCUAACCCCCGGAGAGCAGAACUGAGCAUAGCAUGAGCACACGAGAUAGAGGGUCACAGCCAAUUAGGCGUACAAGGUCCCGAUCUCAAAGGGGUACUGUAGUAAAUGUUGAUCUAAAUGUUGCACCCCCAUCUGAGAACAGAGAUCAGGAAGGAACUUCUGUGCCUGUUGUGUCCGGGGAUGCGACGCAUGGACAAAGAGGUGCCUCUUUGACACCUGCAGCAAUUGAUGUUGAGGCACUUGAUGAUGAUGUGAUUAUAUCAUCCCCUAGGGCGUUUGCAGAAGCUAAGAACAACUCCAGAAGGAAUCGAGGACGGGUUAUUGUGGUUGAUGUGGAUUCUGCUAUUGCAGAGGGCCUUUCAUCUAGGGCCUCAAGUAACAGUCGCAACAGGCGUAGAAGAGUCUCUACAGAUCAAGCAACAAACAAUGGUGGCAUUCACAUAGACCUAGAAGGACAUAGCUGUCCAAAGAGUGUAAAUGUAAAAAGUGCAAUACCACCACAACCGAAAGAGCCCGCAUUCAGCUGUCCAGUGUGCAUGGGUCCAUUAGUUGAGGAGAUGUCGACUAAAUGUGGUCACAUUUUCUGCAAGGCAUGCAUAAAAGCGUCGAUAGCUGCUCAGCAUAAAUGUCCUACAUGUAGGAGAAAAAUCACUAUGAGAGACACCAUAAGAGUGUAUCUUCCAACCACAAGUUAAGUCAAAGGAGUUUUCCAUCGUUUAUACGACCUGUGAAGGAAGUGUAUUUGGAGAGUGGAAGGGAAGUAUGAUUGAAGAUACUUUUAUUCAAUCUUAUCAAUAGUGAGGGUAUACUCUGCUACUUCAAGUUACUGUCAAUGGACCAACUAAAACCAACUCUUCCUGAAACUCAGUUCUUUCCUUCAGUCUACUAAUGUAAACACCUGGGCAGCCUUCACAAACUCAUAGGCGGAUCUAGGACGAAUUUUGUGGUUCAAAUAGACGCGAGUUCCUUUUGGCUCGAACUAUGUAUAUAUAUGCGGAAAGAAACUUAAAAUGCAUACAUAU